AGAUUGAACGCUGGCGGCAUGCCUUACACAUGCAAGUCGAACGGCAGCACGGGAGCAAUCCUGGUGGCGAGUGGCGAACGGGUGAGUAAUAUAUCGGAACGUGCCCAGUAAUGGGGGAUAGCCCGGCGAAAGCCGGAUUAAUACCGCAUACGACCUACGGGUGAAAGCGGGGGAUUCGCAAGAACCUCGCGUUAUUGGAGCGGCCGAUAUCAGAUUAGCUUGUUGGCGGGUAAAAGCCCACCAAGGCAACGAUCUGUAGCUGGUCUGAGAGGACGACCAGCCACACUGGGACUGAGACACGGCCCAGACUCCUACGGGAGGCAGCAGUGGGAAUUUUGGACAAUGGGCGCAAGCCUGAUCCAGCCAUGCCGCGUGUGGGAAGAAGGCCUUCGGUUGUAAACCACUUUUGUCAGGUAAGAAACGGCUCCUAACUAAUAGUUGGAGCUAAUGACGGUACCAGUAAGAAUAAGCAACCGGCUAACGUACGUGCCAGCAGCCG
This 499-nucleotide ribosomal RNA is filed under the name uncultured soil bacterium. Its description in RNAcentral is "bacterial SSU rRNA". It matches the Rfam family "Bacterial small subunit ribosomal RNA", at positions 26 to 517 of the family's 1533-position model. The record is from RNAcentral.